AUUGAACGCCGGCGGCAGGCUUAACACAUGCAAGUCGAGCGGGGUGAUGGUGCUUGCACUAUCACUUAGCGGCGGACGGGUGAGUAAUGCUUAGGAAUCUGCCUAUUAGUGGGGGACAACAUCUCGAAAGGGAUGCUAAUACCGCAUACGUCCUACGGGAGAAAGCAGGGGAUCACUUGUGACCUUGCGCUAAUAGAUGAGCCUAAGUCGGAUUAGCUAGUUGGUGGGGUAAAGGCCUACCAAGGCGACGGUCUGUAGCGGGUCUGAGAGGAUGAUCCGCCAAACUGGGGCUGAGAAAAGGGCCAGACUCCUACGGGAGGCAGCAGUGGGGGAUAUUGGACAAUGGGGGGAACCCUGAUCCAGCCAUGCCGCGUGUGUGAAGAAGGCCUUAUGGUUGUAAAGCACUUUAAGCGAGGAGGAGGCUCUUUUGGUUAAUACCCAAGAUGAGUGGACGUUACUCGCAGAAUAAGCACCGGCUAACUCUGUGCCAGCCGCCGCCGUAA
RNAcentral lists this ribosomal RNA (503 nucleotides) under uncultured bacterium. RNAcentral describes it as "partial 16S ribosomal RNA". It matches the Rfam family "Bacterial small subunit ribosomal RNA", at positions 30 to 523 of the family's 1533-position model. The record is from RNAcentral.